Molecule: long non-coding RNA, 1237 nt
Organism: Triticum dicoccoides
Lineage: Eukaryota; Viridiplantae; Streptophyta; Magnoliopsida; Poales; Poaceae
Exons: 3
Source: RefSeq, a predicted model, not a curated record
UGAUCUUCUUGUUUCUACCUCUCUCUCUGAAGAAGUAGAAGCUUUGAGUACCCUCCAAAAUUCUUGCCGCCGGACCCUCCCCUCUCUUCCCUGGUGAGUGCAGGAUUUGAGUUGGGGCAAGGAUCCCUGUGCUUGUAUCUUUGUGGUUGUAAUCAGGGUCUUGAUCCAUUGGAUUUGGCUUCAAGAUUGCUCAGUAUCUCCUUCUAGAUCUGACCGUGCAGGCCGUCGGAGAUGGAGAUGGUAGUGGCGGUUGCUGCCAUAUCCGAGUCUGCUCAAGUAAGUUAGCUCGUUUUCUAUCUUGGCGUUGAUCCCCUUUUGUGUGUUGGCCUUGGUUCUCAACCUCCAACGUGCCUUUUGUCUAUGUUGCACAUGGAGGAUUGAAGGCUACCGCGGCAAGACCGCCGUGAACAGGCCUAGGAGUUGUAGGUGCAGAGGAUAUUUGCCAGUGUGCAACUUCGCAGAGGGGUCACUCACGAGCAAGAUAAAUUAGUCAUGGAGCUAUCUUCAGGAAAGACUACCGAUCUAGAACUAGCUGUAUUUUCAUGGACAAUUUUGUUGCUCUGACUGAACAGAAUGUCUCUGUAAUUUAGCCAAACAUUAUAUCACCAUGCCAUUACCUAGGUUUUUGCACAUAAUUCUUGUCCGUUUGGGUGGUGCCAAACCGCUAAUAGAAGACAAGUUGGCUUCUUUUUGAAAAAUGACACAAAUGCAUAACUGUAUGUUAUUUAUGGUUGUCUCUGCUGCCUACGACCUAGAAUUACAAGAGGUCCAGUGCUAUUUGUGUGUGUGUGUACUACACAUGAUUUCAAAGCAUUUUUACUAUACGUUUCAUUUCUUUGCUGGGUACAAAAUGUAUUGCAGCUCUUGUUCAUUGUUUUUCAUUUUGUAUAAAUGUAGUAUGAACUCUCUACAUGCUCAGUUUUUCUCCUUUGUUGUCCUCUUAGGUGAGCAGAUGGAUGAAGCAAAAUAACCAGAACUAAUAUUGUUGGAACAUAUGUUUUGAGCACACAAUUGUAAGGAAGGUACACUGCUUUACAGAUGAUUCCAUGGCCUAAUAGACCCCUAUGGUAAUUAACUAAUUAAUUGGAACUAGCUGUGAAAGUUAUGUCUAGAAUAUUUCUUCUCUUCAUCGUAGCGUUGUAUCCAGAUUCAUUUUUCCUGUGCAUAUUUGGCAAAGCAUUCUGUUAACCAAUUCUACUUCAUUCUUGUUUGUCCUCGAACCAUUUAUAAGUGUGUG